GAUGAAGAACGUAGCGAAAUGCGAUACGUAAUGUGAAUUGCAAAUUCAGUGAAUCAUCGAGUCUUUGAACGCACAUUGCGCCCCCUGGUAUUCCGGGGGGCAUGCCUGUCCGAGCGUCAUUGCUGCCCUCAAGCACGGCUUGUGUGUUGGGCCCCGUCCUCCGAUCCCGGGGGACGGGCCCGAAAGGCAGCGGCGGCACCGCGUCCGGUCCUCGAGCGUAUGGGGCUUUGUCACCCGCUCUGUAGGCCCGGCCGGCGCUUGCCGAUCAACCCAAAUUUUUAUCCAGGUUGACCUCGGAUCAGGUAGGGAUACCCGCUGAACUUAAGCAUAUCAAUAAGCGGAAGGA
RNAcentral lists this unclassified non-coding RNA (346 nucleotides) under soil metagenome. RNAcentral describes it as "partial contains 5.8S ribosomal RNA, internal transcribed spacer 2, and large subunit ribosomal RNA". The stretch from base 1 to 119 matches the Rfam family "5.8S ribosomal RNA", at positions 35 to 154 of the family's 154-position model. The record is from RNAcentral.